GGGGCUGGCAUUGCUCUCAAUGACA
Molecule: non-coding RNA, 25 nt
Filed under: Cricetulus griseus (Chinese hamster)
Lineage: Eukaryota; Metazoa; Chordata; Mammalia; Rodentia; Cricetidae
Source: RNAcentral